Molecule: ribosomal RNA, 641 nt
Filed under: unidentified marine bacterioplankton
Lineage: Bacteria
Description: bacterial SSU rRNA
Rfam family: Bacterial small subunit ribosomal RNA
Source: RNAcentral
AUUUCGAUUAGAGUUUGAUCAUGGCUCAGAACGUACGCUGGCGGCACGCCUAACACAUGCAAGUCGAACGAAGUAGCAAUACUUAGUGGCAGACGGGUGAGUAACAUGUGGGUAUCUGCCCUUUGGCCUGGAAUAACACGAGGAAACUUGUGCUAAUACUGGAUAAGUCUUUACGGAGAAAGCUUUAUGCACCAUUGGAUGAGCCCGCACUUGAUUAGUUUGUUGGUGGGGUAAUGGCCUACCAAGACUGUGAUCAAUAGCUGAUUUGAGAGGAUGAUCAGCCACAUUGGGACUGAGACACGGCCCAAACUCCUACGGGAGGCAGCAGUGGGGAAUCUUGCACAAUGGAGGAAACUCUGAUGCAGCGAUGCCGCGUGAGUGAAGAAGGCCCUUGGGUUGUAAAGCUCUUUCGUCGGGGAAGAAAAUGACUGUACCCGAAUAAGAAGGUCCGGCUAACUUCGUGCCAGCAGCCGCGGUAAUACGAAGGGACCUAGCGUAGUUCGGAAUUACUGGGCUUAAAGAGUUCGUAGGUGGUUGAAAAAGUUGGUGGUGAAAUCCCAGAGCUUAACUCUGGAACUGCCAUCAAAACUUUUCAGCUAGAGUUUGAUAGAGGAAAGCAGAGUUUCUAGUGUAGAGGUGAA